This 1258-nucleotide long non-coding RNA is filed under the name Nicotiana benthamiana. RNAcentral describes it as "long non-coding RNA (NBEN_LNC024487)". Lineage: Eukaryota; Viridiplantae; Streptophyta; Magnoliopsida; Solanales; Solanaceae. The record is from RNAcentral.
AUGGCACGUCUCGGAAUCUAAGGAUCAAUACAAGAUUAAUUAAAGUGAGGGCUAUGUAAUUGUCAUACUAAAUUUCGUUUUAAGAAAUUCGGCGUUCUAUUCCUCCUAACAGUGAAUCUAUGUACUCCAAUGUGAUCGAAUAAAACAUGAAUCUAAACAGUGACAAAUAAACGCUUGCUUGAGCCCUUCCAGUUGUGUGACUCGGCAAACUAAAGACUUGCUAAUAAUUUCACAAAUUUCAACUCAGGCUGCCAGGGAGGAAAGCACACGGAACAUCCAGUAGGUGCUGAUUUUGCAACUGUUGCAGUGACUCGACAAACUAAAGACUUGCUAAUAAUUUCACAAAUUUCAACUCAGGCUGCCAGGGAGGAAAGCACACGGAACAUCCAGUGCAGAAUCUUUAUCGAUGAAUUUGGCUUAUCCUUAACGAUCAAUAUUAGUGCCUAUAAAGUUCUUAAACAGAGAAUCAAACACAAAUACAGAAGGCUAGAAUUGCUUCUACCAAGUGAACAUAAAACUAUGAAAUUAUCAAUUAACAAGCAUAAAUCUAUCACAUUCAUAAAAAUAUCCAACUGAUGUAACCAAAUCAGUGUGUAACAUGAACAUUAAUUCAACGUAGAACAUUUAUAAAUUGUCAAAGUUUUGUCAUGGGAACAAAAGCAGUAGAAAAUUAGAAAAGAGAAACAGAACCUCUCGUUAAACAGCAAACCCGAGCCGAAAUAGCAGGCCACCGGACGAGAAACUCAAAUAGGCACCGGAAUUUCGAAUCGAACACGAACUCGAAUCAAUCUCGGCUGAAAUUAUCCCCAUACUCGAAUAACCAGAAGUCUAAUCCAAUUGAAGAAACAGAACCAAAACCAUCUCUGAAAUCAAUUUAUCUGGUGUGUGCUUUUGAGAAUUUCCGGCGACGAAUUGCGAGUGAAUUCCGACGAUACUGAUGAGUGACUGAGCGUAUGUGUGUAGCCAGUGAAGGAGUGAAUUGGGUGUUGUUUUCCAGUGAGGGAACUUGUUUGGUUGAGUGAUCACCGGCGAAGUAAAGGUCGUUUGGACAGAGGCGACGCCGGAAGUUCAGGAGUUGUUUGGGUGAGCAGUUGUCGGGUGAGAGAGGGAGACGAAAUCAGGGGGUCUUUUUGUGUUCAAUCUAUUGCGUUCCUUUUUCUUUUUCUUUCUGUAUUUUUUUCCCUUUUGCGUGUCUUUUACGUCUUUUUUUGUUUUGUUUUUUUUUUUGAAAUAACGAAAAAAUCAUUUUGUUUAAUUU